This is a non-coding RNA of Hypoxylon sp. FL1284, 98 nucleotides long. The record is from the annotation of a GenBank genome assembly. Lineage: Eukaryota; Fungi; Ascomycota; Sordariomycetes; Xylariales; Hypoxylaceae.
GCUCGCUUGGCACAGCGGUAAUGCGCCUCACUAGUAUAUCAAAUGUUCUACUGAGAGAAGCAAUGAGGAGAUGACUGGUUCGACUCCAGUAGUGAGCA